RNAcentral lists this ribosomal RNA (869 nucleotides) under uncultured archaeon. RNAcentral describes it as "bacterial SSU rRNA". It matches the Rfam family "Archaeal small subunit ribosomal RNA", at positions 1 to 878 of the family's 1478-position model. The record is from RNAcentral.
CUCCGGUGAUCCUGCCGGGGACCCGACUGCUAUCAGAGUGGGACUAAGCCAUGCGAGUCAACAUAGCAAUAUGUGGCAUACGGCUCAGUAACACGUAGUCAACAUGCCCAGGGGACGUGGAUAACCUCGGGAAACUGAGGAUAAACCGCGAUAGGUCAUCACUUCUGGAAUGGGUAAUGACUUAAAUCUAUAUGGCCCCUGGAUUGGACUGCGGCCGAUCAGGCUGUUGGUGAGGUAAUGGCCCACCAAACCUGUAACCGGUACGGGCUCUGAGAGGAGGAGCCCGGAGAUGGGCACUGAGACAAGGGCCCAGGCCCUAUGGGGCGCAGCAGGCGCGAAACCUCUGCAAUAGGCGAAAGCUUGACAGGGUUACUCUGAGUGAUUUCCGUUAAGGAGAUCUUUUGGCACCUCUAAAAAUGGUGCAGAAUAAGGGGUGGGCAAGUCUGGUGUCAGCCGCCGCGGUAAUACCAGCACCCCGAGUGGUCGGGACGUUUAUUGGGCCUAAAGCAUCCGUAGCCGGUUCUACAAGUCUUCCGUUAAAUCCACCUGCUUAACAGAUGGGCUGCGGAAGAUACUAUAGAGCUAGGAGGCGGGAGAGGCAAGCGGUACUCGAUGGGUAGGGGUAAAAUCCGUUGAUCCAUUGAAGACCACCAGUGGCGAAGGCGGCUUGCCAGAACGCGCUCGACGGUGAGGGAUGAAAGCUGGGGGAGCAAACCGGAUUAGAUACCCGGGUAGUCCCAGCUGUAAACGAUGCAGACUCGGUGAUGAGUUGGCUUAUUGCUAACUCAGUGCCGCAGGGAAGCCGUUAAGUUUGCCGCCUGGGGAGUACGGUCGCAAGACUGAAACUUAAAGGAAUUGGCGGGGGAGCA